CAGUUUUUUAUUUUUAUUUUUCCAAACGGUGCAUGGAACCCUAAGGACGUGGGUUCGAACCUGACAUGUGUAAUGUUUAUUUUUUCUCACUUGUAAAAUGUUCAUUUUUCUUCAUAACUUCAAAUAUCCAUAACUUCAUGAUCCCUUAACAUUUUUGACCCACUCUUUUUACCAUGUGCUCAUGAGAAUGUUUAUUUUAU
RNAcentral lists this long non-coding RNA (200 nucleotides) under Lathyrus oleraceus (garden pea). RNAcentral's name for it is "Pisum sativum (pea) long non-coding RNA (PSAT_LNC005942)". The record is from RNAcentral. Lineage: Eukaryota; Viridiplantae; Streptophyta; Magnoliopsida; Fabales; Fabaceae.